RNAcentral lists this ribosomal RNA (253 nucleotides) under uncultured bacterium. Its description in RNAcentral is "partial 16S ribosomal RNA". It matches the Rfam family "Bacterial small subunit ribosomal RNA", at positions 524 to 776 of the family's 1533-position model. The record is from RNAcentral.
UACGGAGGAUGCAAGCGUUAUCCGGAAUGAUUGGGCGUAAAGCGUCCGCAGGUGGCUAUGUAAGUCUGCUGUUAAAGAGCAAGGCUCAACCUUGUAAAGGCAGUGGAAACUACAUGGCUAGAGUGCGUUCGGGGCAGAGGGAAUUCCUGGUGUAGCGGUGAAAUGCGUAGAGAUCAGGAAGAACACCGGUGGCGAAAGCGCUCUGCUAGGCCGCAACUGACACUGAGGGACGAAAGCUAGGGGAGCAAAUGGG